RNAcentral lists this long non-coding RNA (238 nucleotides) under Mytilus galloprovincialis (Mediterranean mussel). The record is from RNAcentral. Lineage: Eukaryota; Metazoa; Mollusca; Bivalvia; Mytilida; Mytilidae.
CAAAUAUCCAAAUAAAGUUGAAAGAAGUUAUGUGUUGAAAAACAGGAUGAACAGUGAUCCCUUUAUAUGAUUCUUUAUAACUCUUUAAUGUUUGUUGCUGGAUACUAAAUUAAACAAAAUACAAAAAGGUAUUAUACUCUUUAAAACUUAAUUUUAUUAACUUUAUUAAAAACCCUAACUGGGCUUAAUACAGACAAACUGGGCAUUAAUACAGGGCCAUUACAGAAAAACAGGGCCA